CCAACUCUUCCACCUCCGGUUUACACUCCCCCGGUUCACAAGCCCACACUCCCACCUCCGGUUUACACACCACCAGCUUACAAGCCCACCCUCCCACCUCCGGUUUACACUCCACCGGUUUACAAGCCUACCCUCCCUCCUCCAGUAUACUACACCUCACCGGUUUACAAGCAUACACCCUCACCUCCGGUUUACACUAAGCCAACUAUCCCACCUCCGGUUUACACCCCUCCGGUAUACAAGCAUACCCCCUCACCUCCGGUUUACACUAAGCCAACUAUCCCACCUCCGGUUUACACCCCACCGGUUUACAAGCCAACUCUCUCACCUCCGGUUUACACUAAGCCAACUAUCCCACCUCCGGUUUACACUCCACCGGUUUACAAGCCAACUCUCUCACCUCCGGUUUACACUAAGCCAACUAUCCCACCUCCGGUUUACACUCCACCGGUUUACAAGCCUACUCUCUCACCUCCGGUCUACAAAAAGUCUCCAAGCUAUUCGUCUCCUCCUCCUCCAUAUGUACCAGAACCAACCUACACUCCACCCACCAAGCCAUACGUCCC
RNAcentral lists this long non-coding RNA (566 nucleotides) under Arabidopsis lyrata. Its description in RNAcentral is "long non-coding RNA (ALYR_LNC001846)". The record is from RNAcentral. Lineage: Eukaryota; Viridiplantae; Streptophyta; Magnoliopsida; Brassicales; Brassicaceae.